This 396-nucleotide ribosomal RNA is filed under the name uncultured bacterium. Its description in RNAcentral is "bacterial SSU rRNA". It matches the Rfam family "Bacterial small subunit ribosomal RNA", at positions 28 to 428 of the family's 1533-position model. The record is from RNAcentral.
GACGAACGCUGGCGGCGUGCUUAACACAUGCAAGUCGAACGGUGACGGAGAGCUUGCUCUCCUGAUCAGUGGCGAACGGGUGAGUAACACGUGGGCAACCUGCCCCAGACUUCGGGAUAACGCUUCGAAAGAGGUGCUAAUACCGGAUACGAACUCCUUGGGCAUCCUUGGAGUUGGAAAGUUUUUCGGUCUGGGAUGGGCCCGCGGCCUAUCAGCUUGUUGGUGAGGUAACGGCUCACCAAGGCGACGACGGGUAGCCGGCCUGAGAGGGCGACCGGCCACACUGGGACUGAGACACGGCCCAGACUCCUACGGAGGCAGCAGUGGGGAAUAUUGCGCAAUGGGCGAAAGCCUGACGCAGCAACGCCGCGUGAGGGAUGACGGCCUCGGUUGUAA